RNAcentral lists this long non-coding RNA (490 nucleotides) under Callithrix jacchus (white-tufted-ear marmoset). Its description in RNAcentral is "lncRNA (ENSCJAG00000072080.1)". Lineage: Eukaryota; Metazoa; Chordata; Mammalia; Primates; Cebidae. The record is from RNAcentral.
AAUAUUUUUGUUUUAAGAUGAAGUUUUAAGUGUCUAGUAAAGACUUUGGUGUUUUAAUUCUUCUUCAAGUCAAUUCUUUCUCUGUCUUCAAGAUGGAAAUGAUGGAAAAACAGAGUGUGCCAGAGAGACACAUGAGUCAGGAGCCAGCUCAAAGUCAAUGGGGCCUAGAAAACCCUUUCUGGAGAGGUAGGAGCUCGCGUGAAGGCAGCUACUUAACUUCUGCUGCACAAUCCACACACCGUGCUUCUCCUUUUGGAGGUCAAUAUGGCUGCAGGGGAGCCUCAUCCUUUCUCAGAAUGGCCCUACUUGCCCUACCUCAUGGAUGGCCCUUCAGGACCAUUGAUAGGUUGCUGGCCACCUCCUUCACCUGAGUCUCUCUGGGACCUCAACCACUCCCUCCACCUGAAGGUUUUCUGGGACCUCCAACAUCACCUCCACUCGAGUGUCCUUUGAGAUCUCAACCCUUCCACUCACGUGUCCCCUGGGACCU